CUGGAGGACUGUGGGUAUUAGGUGUCCAAGAAGAAAGCUCAGAUCUGCCGACGGCAGGUACCUUACUUGGGAUUUUCUAUACGACAGGGGUCCGAACGCAGCCCGGGAUCAGAAAGAAAGCAGGUCGUUUGCAAUCUACCGGAGCCUAAGGGCAGAAGGCAGGACCGUGGGAACAAUAUGCCAGGGGGAUUUCCACUUUCUGCCAUAUAUGUAGUCACAUCACCCACUCUGCUUUGGAAUAUUAUUAAGGACCAUCUAACACGAGGGUGUAUACGUCCUGCAAUACUACGAGUAAUAUCAACUUCUUGGCCUCUGAAUAUGAGGAAGAAUAUCACAGGGUGGGUGUACACCUCGUGCUCUAUUAUGCGGAGUCAUAUCUGUCUAUUAUGGGGAGUAAUAUCAUUCUCUCCCUUUCAGGAUAUUAAUAACAAUUUCACAGGCUGGGUGAACACAGCCGGCAAUGCUGAAAUUAUUAUCAUCCUCUCCCCAUCUUCCCCUCCUGGCUCUUAGGACCCCCAUCGCAGGGGGCUGAGGCACCCCCCGCGAGGCGGGGACUGAGUGCCAGCCCCUCUUCCCUAGCCCCUUCGUCAGGGCUGAGAGAAUUUUGAGCGCUAGCCGUCUCUCGAUCGCUGGCUAAUAAAGAACUCCUGAAUUAGU
This 657-nucleotide long non-coding RNA is filed under the name Homo sapiens (human). RNAcentral's name for it is "HSALNT0366637". Lineage: Eukaryota; Metazoa; Chordata; Mammalia; Primates; Hominidae. The record is from RNAcentral.